RNAcentral lists this small nuclear RNA (285 nucleotides) under Camelus ferus (Wild Bactrian camel). RNAcentral's name for it is "7SK RNA". It matches the Rfam family "7SK RNA". From Rfam's summary of the family: 7SK was discovered as an abundant small nuclear RNA in the mid-70s but a possible function has only recently been suggested. The record is from Rfam by way of RNAcentral. Lineage: Eukaryota; Metazoa; Chordata; Mammalia; Artiodactyla; Camelidae.
GGGCAUGGGGGCGAUGUGGCUGCGACUUCUGGCCGCCCCGCUGGUCACCAGGCCUGAUGUGGCUGGUUAGGACAGUGUCCCCUUCCUCCCUCACCGCUCCAUGUGCCUCCCUCCCCACGCUGCGUGCUAAGUCUCAGAGGACAACCUUCCCAGGUGGAGAAGGACUGUUCUCCAGUCAAGGGUACACGAGCAGCGAUGCUCCCCUGCUAGAACCUCCAAACAAGAACACACCUCUGAGUUUGAGACUAGACAGACCGAUGCAAAGAGACAAAAUCAGGUUUUCCU